Molecule: ribosomal RNA, 773 nt
Filed under: uncultured Neocallimastigales
Lineage: Eukaryota; Fungi; Neocallimastigomycota; Neocallimastigomycetes; Neocallimastigales
Description: partial large subunit ribosomal RNA
Rfam family: Eukaryotic large subunit ribosomal RNA
Source: RNAcentral
CGCAUCUGUGCAUGCAGCAUAUCAAUAAGCGGAGGAAAAGGAAACUAACAAGGAUUCCCUCAGUAACGGCGAGUGAAGCGGGAAGAGCUCAAAUUUGAAAUCUUGAAAGGUCACCUUUCACGAAUUGUAGUUUAAAGAAGUGUUUUCUGUUACGAUCGUAAUAUAAGUUCUUUGGAAUAGGACAUCACAGAGGGUGAGAAUCCCGUCUAUGAUUGCGAUUUGUAGCUUUGUGAUACACUUUCAAAGAGUCGGGUUGUUUGGGAAUGCAGCCCAAAACGGGAGGUAAAUUUCCUUCUAAGGCUAAAUAUUGGCGAGAGACCGAUAGCGAACAAGUACCGUGAGGGAAAGAUGAAAAGAACUUUGAAAAGAGGAGUUAAAUAGUACGUGAAAUUGUCAAAAGGGAAGCGUUUAACACCAGUGUUGUUUUCUGAAAAUCAACCUCUGUUAGCUUUAUGCAUGUUUGUUUAGACCUAAUCAGCUAUCUUGCAUGUUCUAUUGUUUGCAGUGGUGCACUUUUCAGUUUACAGGUCAACAUCAGUUUUUUUUACCGUAAAAAAGUUAAAGAAAGGUAGCUCAUGGCUCCGGUCGUGAGUGUUAUAGUCUUUUUCCUAUGCGGUAGGAGAGACUGAGGUCUGCAGUGUAGGCUAUUUGGCUAGAUACUCAGGUGCUAUGUGAUACCAUUUCAUAAACAACUUGUUGAUUAUGUUUUGUCUAUUGCAUACUCGCUUGUACUAUCAUACCUACGCUUAGGAUGUUGACGAUCAGCGAGCGCG